Molecule: ribosomal RNA, 1609 nt
Filed under: Salmonella enterica subsp. enterica serovar Derby str. 626
Lineage: Bacteria; Pseudomonadati; Pseudomonadota; Gammaproteobacteria; Enterobacterales; Enterobacteriaceae
Description: bacterial LSU rRNA
Rfam family: Bacterial large subunit ribosomal RNA
Source: RNAcentral
UUGUUGGGUAGGGGAGCGUUCUGUAAGCCUGUGAAGGUGGCCUGUGAGGGUUGCUGGAGGUAUCAGAAGUGCGAAUGCUGACAUAAGUAACGAUAAAGCGGGUGAAAAGCCCGCUCGCCGGAAGACCAAGGGUUCCUGUCCAACGUUAAUCGGGGCAGGGUGAGUCGACCCCUAAGGCGAGGCCGAAAGGCGUAGUCGAUGGGAAACGGGUUAAUAUUCCCGUACUUGGUGUUACUGCGAAGGGGGGACGGAGAAGGCUAUGUUGGCCGGGCGACGGUUGUCCCGGUUUAAGCGUGUAGGUGUGUGUUCCAGGUAAAUCCGGUUCACUUUAACACUGAGGCGUGAUGACGAGGCACUACGGUGCUGAAGCAACAAAUGCCCUGCUUCCAGGAAAAGCCUCUAAGCAUCAGGUAACAUCAAAUCGUACCCCAAACCGACACAGGUGGUCAGGUAGAGAAUACCAAGGCGCUUGAGAGAACUCGGGUGAAGGAACUAGGCAAAAUGGUGCCGUAACUUCGGGAGAAGGCACGCUGACAUGUAGGUGAAGUGAUUUACUCAUGGAGCUGAAGUCAGUCGAAGAUACCAGCUGGCUGCAACUGUUUAUUAAAAACACAGCACUGUGCAAACACGAAAGUGGACGUAUACGGUGUGACGCCUGCCCGGUGCCGGAAGGUUAAUUGAUGGGGUCAGCGCAAGCGAAGCUCCUGAUCGAAGCCCCGGUAAACGGCGGCCGUAACUAUAACGGUCCUAAGGUAGCGAAAUUCCUUGUCGGGUAAGUUCCGACCUGCACGAAUGGCGUAAUGAUGGCCAGGCUGUCUCCACCCGAGACUCAGUGAAAUUGAACUCGCUGUGAAGAUGCAGUGUACCCGCGGCAAGACGGAAAGACCCCGUGAACCUUUACUAUAGCUUGACACUGAACAUUGAGCCUUGAUGUGUAGGAUAGGUGGGAGGCUUUGAAGCGUGGACGCCAGUCUGCGUGGAGCCGGCCUUGAAAUACCACCCUUUAAUGUUUGAUGUUCUAACGUGGACCCGUGAUCCGGGUUGCGGACAGUGUCUGGUGGGUAGUUUGACUGGGGCGGUCUCCUCCUAAAGAGUAACGGAGGAGCACGAAGGUUGGCUAAUCCUGGUCGGACAUCAGGAGGUUAGUGCAAUGGCAUAAGCCAGCUUGACUGCGAGCGUGACGGCGCGAGCAGGUGCGAAAGCAGGUCAUAGUGAUCCGGUGGUUCUGAAUGGAAGGGCCAUCGCUCAACGGAUAAAAGGUACUCCGGGGAUAACAGGCUGAUACCGCCCAAGAGUUCAUAUCGACGGCGGUGUUUGGCACCUCGAUGUCGGCUCAUCACAUCCUGGGGCUGAAGUAGGUCCCAAGGGUAUGGCUGUUCGCCAUUUAAAGUGGUACGCGAGCUGGGUUUAGAACGUCGUGAGACAGUUCGGUCCCUAUCUGCCGUGGGCGCUGGAGAACUGAGGGGGGCUGCUCCUAGUACGAGAGGACCGGAGUGGACGCAUCACUGGUGUUCGGGUUGUCAUGCCAAUGGCACUGCCCGGUAGCUAAAUGCGGAAGAGAUAAGUGCUGAAAGCAUCUAAGCACGAAACUUGCCCCGAGAUGAGUUCU